Molecule: ribosomal RNA, 301 nt
Filed under: uncultured bacterium
Lineage: Bacteria
Description: partial 16S ribosomal RNA
Rfam family: Bacterial small subunit ribosomal RNA
Source: RNAcentral
CAGUAGCCGCGGGAACACGUAGGGCGCAAGCGUUAUCCGGAAUUAUUGGGCGUAAAGAGCUCGUAGGCGGUUUGUCGCGUCUGCCGUGAAAGUCCGGGGCUCAACCCCGGAUCUGCGGUGGGUACGGGCAGACUAGAGUGAUGUAGGGGAGACUGGAAUUCCUGGUGUAGCGGUGAAAUGCGCAGAUAUCAGGGGGAACACCGAUGGCGAAGGCAGGUCUCUGGGCAUUAACUGACGCUGAGGAGCGAAAGCAUGGGGAGCGAACAGGAUUAGAUACCCCCGUAGUCCCUGUCUCUUAUAC